RNAcentral lists this long non-coding RNA (1609 nucleotides) under Jatropha curcas. RNAcentral's name for it is "long non-coding RNA (JCUR_LNC000671)". Lineage: Eukaryota; Viridiplantae; Streptophyta; Magnoliopsida; Malpighiales; Euphorbiaceae. The record is from RNAcentral.
GUGAGAUUCCUCUCGGCUUUGAUCUACUAGUUCAUCUUCUACCCUUCAUUAGGCUGUAACUCUUUAGAAUACUUACCUUUGGUGUAUACUAUAGAAAAAAAGAAUAGCCUUACGCCAUAUGGAAUAUGUUGUUAGGCUCAGUUUAUCAUGAUUUUAAAGGGUGUUAUUUAUGUGGAUCCCUUCAGUUUAUCAUGACAGCGGUUCCAAGCCCAUAAGCCUCUUUCCAUGCAUUUCUAUCUUAGUGGAAUGUGAUCUACAAAAAGGUAGCAACCAUUCAAUUUGAUAUGAUUGAAAUAGAGAAAGGUAAAUCUGUCUUUUGACUUGUCCUCGGGUUUUUGGUUUGGUUCCUACUUCUUCUCUUAUUCUUUUCUCUUUUAUACUCUAAAUUAAAAAAACAAAAACAAAAAAGAAAGACAUAGUUGAUCUGCCUCCUGCUAAGAAGCCCCAAUCAGUGAAAGUUUAGACGAAAGCUUCAAACAACUCUUGGUCCUGCCUCUUCCUUUUCUAGGAGUAAUGCACUUGUUGAGACCACAAUGAUAAGAUAUUCCAACUGAAUUCUCAUGUGGACUAAAAGAAGCAGACAUUGCAACUUGGAGGACCUUAUCGAUGACACUAAGAUAUUAUAUCAUCGGUAUUUAACUGCUUUUGAUUCAUCUAGUUCUUCUAACCAACACAUGGAUUUAGAUGGUACCAAAUCUAAAGCACGAGUUUCUUGUCUGUUUGAUCUUCUUCUUUAGUUUGUGAUUGACAUCAUAACUCACCUGUUUCAACUCAGUCUCCUCACACAUAUCUCCUCUUCUUUCAUUUGCUUCUUUAUCUGUAUUGGUAUUGAUCUCUUUUGUUAUUUUGUCUAACAGUUGUUACUUCUUUACUUUAGCUACCAUAAAUUCCUCUUCAGUUCCUAUCCCACCUUCCUUUACAUCUAUUAAUGUGGCUAAGAACCUAUUGAAGCAUUUAUUCUCCUUGGAGCUUUUCGAGUUGACAAAUGAUGAGCUCAACUGGUGUAUUAUUCUCAAUAUACCUUAUUACUGGUUGUACCUAGCCUAGAGAGCUAAGGAUAUGGAUAAUUAAUCUAAUUGUUACCUUCCAAGCUCGGUCAAGGGUUAACCAGUAGUUAGGGAGAUCUAUCUCUGACUUUAUUAAGUGUAUAGGUCAUAUCACAAUCGUUUACACUAGAGCUAAUAGCCUUGUUGCUCAAAAAACUAAGAAUGAGCAAUGAUAUGAGACUAUCGAGUAGAAGAUAAUGGACUUAGAGACUAAGCUUUAUUUUCUAAAGAGGAGUUCCAUAUUGUUGUUAUUGAUUAUUAAAGUAGUUGUGAGGUCUUGACCUGAGCAUCUAGUCCAAGGUUCACUAAAUAAACUGGAAUGAUUUCUUAAAAAGGAGUUGUCAAUUACAUUUUUUAGUUUAAUGAAAAAAAUCUAAGAAAAACCCUAAUCUGAAAAAUGCACUAAUCUUGUGAGGCUAAGGAGGAUUUAGGGAGUAGAUUUUGGGUUAAAUCAGACUUUAGAAUUAGCCUUGAAAUUGAUCUUUAUUCAUGAAAGAAGAUUUUAGUUGGAGAAAAAUAUUAUGCAUGGUAAUAUUAUAUCAUUCAAAAAUAACAAACAGAGG